AGACCCGAAACCCGGUGAUCUAGCCAUGGGCAGGUUGAAGGUUGGGUAACACUAACUGGAGGACCGAACCGACUAAUGUUGAAAAAUUAGCGGAUGACCUGUGGCUGGGGGUGAAAGGCCAAUCAAACCGGGAGAUAGCUGGUUCUCCCCGAAAGCUAUUUAGGUAGCGCCUCGUGAAUUCAUCUCCGGGGGUAGAGCACUGUUUCGGCUAGGGGGCCAUCCCGGCUUACCAACCCGAUGCAAACUGCGAAUACCGGAGAAUGUUAUCACGGGAGACACACGGCGGGUGCUAACGUCCGUCGUGAAGAGGGAAACAACCCAGACCGCCAGCUAAGGUCCCAAAGUCAUGGUUAAGUGGGAAACGAUGUGGGAAGGCCCAGACAGCCAGGAUGUUGGCUUAGAAGCAGCCAUCAUUUAAAGAAAGCGUAAUAGCUCACUGGUCGAGUCGGCCUGCGCGGAAGAUGUAACGGGGCUAAACCAUGCACCGAAGCUGCGGCAGCGACACUGUGUGUUGUUGGGUAGGGGAGCGUUCUGUAAGCCUGCGAAGGUGGCCUGUGAGGGUUGCUGGAGGUAUCAGAAGUGCGAAUGCUGACAUAAGUAACGAUAAAGCGGGUGAAAAGCCCGCUCGCCGGAAGACCAAGGGUUCCUGUCCAACGUUAAUCGGGGCAGGGUGAGUCGACCCCUAAGGCGAGGCCGAAAGGCGUAGUCGAUGGGAAACGGGUUAAUAUUCCCGUACUUGGUGUUACUGCGAAGGGGGGACGGAGAAGGCUAUGUUGGCCGGGCGACGGUUGUCCCGGUUUAAGCGUGUAGGUGUGUGUUCCAGGUAAAUCCGGUUCACUUUAACACUGAGGCGUGAUGACGAGGCACUACGGUGCUGAAGCAACAAAUGCCCUGCUUCCAGGAAAAGCCUCUAAGCAUCAGGUAACACGAAAUCGUACCCCAAACCGACACAGGUGGUCAGGUAGAGAAUACCAAGGCGCUUGAGAGAACUCGGGUGAAGGAACUAGGCAA
This 1011-nucleotide ribosomal RNA is filed under the name Salmonella enterica. Its description in RNAcentral is "partial 23S ribosomal RNA". It matches the Rfam family "Bacterial large subunit ribosomal RNA", at positions 711 to 1720 of the family's 2925-position model. The record is from RNAcentral. Lineage: Bacteria; Pseudomonadati; Pseudomonadota; Gammaproteobacteria; Enterobacterales; Enterobacteriaceae.